This 378-nucleotide ribosomal RNA is filed under the name uncultured bacterium. RNAcentral describes it as "bacterial SSU rRNA". It matches the Rfam family "Bacterial small subunit ribosomal RNA", at positions 29 to 399 of the family's 1533-position model. The record is from RNAcentral.
AACGAACGCUGGCGGCGCGCCUAAUACAUGCAAGUCGAACGAGAAGGUGUAGCAAUACACUUGUACAGUGGCGAACGGGUGAGGAAUGCAUGGGCAACCUACCCUCGAGUGGGGAAUAACCAGCCGAAAGGUUGGCUAAUACCGCGUACGCUUCCGGGUCUCCGGAUCCGGAAGGAAAGUCACACCGUGGGUGUGACGCUCAAGGAUGGGCUCAUGUCCUAUCAGCCUGUUGGGAGUAACGGCUCACCAAGGCAACGACGGGUAGCUGGUCUGAGGGGACGAUCAGCCACACUGGCACUGCGACACGGGCCAGACUCCUACGGGAGGCAGCAGUAAGGAAUAUUGCGCAAUGGGCGAAAGCCUGACGCAGCGACGCCG